Molecule: long non-coding RNA, 24526 nt
Filed under: Mytilus galloprovincialis (Mediterranean mussel)
Lineage: Eukaryota; Metazoa; Mollusca; Bivalvia; Mytilida; Mytilidae
Source: RNAcentral
AUAGACCAUAUAUAUAUAUCUUCCUUGUUAAUUUCUUGGUAAUUAUAAGUUCCGGUGUUAAUUUAGAUACUAAUCAUUUUCAUAUUUAUAUCCGGUGACAUGGGCACACUAAUACAAAAAAUGUUUCGUUAUAGACAUAUAGACUGAAAGGAUGUUGUUUGGAGCGCGUUUUGCAAGUUGCUUGGUAGGAUUCUUCUUGUUAGUCGCACUGCCGUAUAUUCAUAUAGGUAAGAGAGAAAGACCCUUCAAAUAGUUUCAAUAUCGAUACCAAAUAAGCCUAGUAUCGAGUCAUUAUCGAAAGAGUAGUGUCAAUUCUAGUCUAUAAAGUUGUGAAAGAAUUAAACUAACGCCUUUUAAGCGAGUUUUUAUCAACUUCAACUUUUUGCAGAUAAUAAAACAUUUUAAAUAAUGAUUAUCAAAAAGCCUCGGUCACACCUUACCGGAUAGCUCGAACGGACGCCUAACGGAUAACUUUUUUUCAAUCCGUUCAUAUCAUUUAGACGUCCGUUCUUAUCCGUUAGACGUCCGUCCAUGUCCGUUGCAUGUCCGUUAAGCGUAAGUUUUAUCCGUCGACGUCCGUUCUGUCCGGUGGAAAAUUUUGAACAUGUUCAAAACUUUGAACGGACGUCCAACGGAUAAAAUGUCCGUUGAAUGUCCGUUAGGCGUCCGUUUUGUACGGUACUCGUCCGUUUCGUUUCCGUUUUGUAUCCGUUACGUGUCCGUUAUACAUCCGUUGGAGGUCUGGAAGAUAAAUUCACCAACGGACUUCUACCGGACAUUUAACGGAUAAAACGGAUGUUGAACGGAUGAGAAACGGGCUUCUACCGGACGUAUAACGGAUAAAACGGAUGAUGAACGAUCUGAAACGGAUAAAUGCAAAUUGAAAAUUUAGAAAUGCCAAUUAUUGGUAUGUCAGAUUUCUUAAGGUUCAUGAAUUCUUAUUAUUCAUAAUCGAUCUUAGAGUAUAGGCACGCCUUCACAAUUAAGCAGUUCUUAUUCAGGCCAGAAACUGCCCUUUGACGGAAUUUUUGAAGAACAAACCAAAACCAGUUACACAGAAACAUUUUGAAUAUUUAUUCGAUUUACAUGUAUUAUUAUUGUCGCCUUUGAUUUUUCCGUAUAUCUUGUUCAUCCGUUUUAUCCGGUACGCUUCCGUUAGGUGUCCGUUUUAUGCGGUACUUCGUCCGUUGGAUGUACGUUCCACAUCCGUUCUGUCCGGUACGUGUCCGUUUCUCGUACGUUGCAUAUCCGGUGUGUGUCCGUUAUGCAUCCGUUAAACGUCCGUUUUAUUCGGUCAGUACAUCAACGGACUCCCAACAGAUAACAAUUUUGUCAACGGACAACUUUUAUUUUCAUCCGUUAGGCGUCCGUUCGUGCUAUCCGGUAAGGUGUGACCGAGGCUUUAACCACCUGUCUGAGAACUUAUUGGAUAUAAAAAGUGUUUGGGUAUGAGUGACAAUUAGACAACUUUCUAUCUAAGUCACAAUUUGUAAAAGUAAACCAUUAUAUGUCAAAGUACGGUAUUGACUAGUGUAAAACCAUUCAAAUGGGAAAACCAACUGACUAAUCUAUUAUAAAAAAAAGUAACGAAAAACCGACAAACGACAACUACUAACAUCUGAUACCUGAAUUAGGAGCAAACAAAAGCAAAUAUGUAUUAGAUCCAUAUAACAUAUGAACUAAUAGCGUUGGUAAAACAAUCUAGUAUUUGUGAUAUAUAUAUAUAUAUAUAUAUAUAUAUAUAUAUAUAUAUAUAUAUAUAUAUAUAUAUAUAUAUAUAUAUAUAUAUAUAUAUAUAUAUAUAUAUAUAUACAUGUCUAUUCGUUGACAUCUUGAACGGAACUCACAAAAAUGUCGAAGAUAAACAGACAGUUAUCUAUACAUUUUUUCACCAAGAGACUCAAAGGGAUAUCCCAUGAUGAUGUAUUGUCAGAAAUAGGUAAAGUAAUUGAUAUUGAGGAUGUUUUAUCAAUUCAAAUCACUGAAAAAGACUGCAUAGUAACCCUAAAAAACCCUGAAACUAAAGACAGGCUAGCUGCUCAAGGCAUCGCACUAAGAGACAGAUCUAUUAAAUUUUAUGAAGUAGAGAGUUUAAUUACUCAUGUAACGAUAAAAGACGCACCUUACGAACUAGAAAACUUAUAUAUUUGUACUCAGAUGUUUAGAUUUGGUAAGGUGGUUCCAGGUUCUAUAAAACGAGGCGUCAUCAAAGGCACAAACAUCGAAAAUGGGUCUCGGUAUAUUGAUAUUCUGGAAUGUGAUUCAGUGCUUCCGAAUAGAACAUCUUUUGGUCGUUUUGAAGUAAGACUUUUUGCUGAUAACAAUCGCACUCCAUGUAUUUAUUGUCAUAUCACAGGUCAUCCUUCAUACAGAUGUAAGGACAAACCAAGUCUCAUGAAUCAAAAGAGAUGUUACAAUUGUUGUGGUAUAGGUCACGUAGCUAACGCCUGUACAAGUGAAGGAUACUGCUCUUACUGUAACGUAAAUGGUCACGCCAGACGAGACUGUGAACAGUACAAACAGGAAACAGAAAAAAAGGAAUUGGGCAGUUAUGGUCCUGAAAUAUUAGAGGGAAGACAAGACAAUACAAAAAACAUUCACACUGACGAAGACGACAAAGAAUCCAUCUCAUCAGACAACACGAAUUGUGAACGAGAGACAGUGUCUGUUCUCCUUGGAGCAUCUAAUUGCAUUAGGCUCGGACAUAUCGACGAUUCGGUAGUAAACGCUUCAAUAUCUGGAGGAUCCUUCGACAAAAUUGAACAAAACAUUGAUCUAGCUUUUCAAAAAACUGAAAACAAAGAUAUUGAAAAGGUUGUUAUCUGUCUAGGCACAAACGACAUAAGUAGAAAUAAAAGUGACUCUGAUCAAAUAAACCUUCUUGUAACAAGCGCUGUCAAUCGUGUAAAGUCUAGCUUUCCAGAAGCACAGAUAGGUCUUUGCAAUAUCAUACCGCGUAAAGGCAACGGCGCUCAGUUUCAGAAAAUAAAUGAAACAACCAAAAGUGUAAAUAGUUUCAUGAAAAAACUUUGUGUUCGAGAACAAUCUGUAGCAUUUGUUGAUAUAAAUGAUCAAUUUUAUAAACACGGAGCUGUAAUCAGAACAUUGUUUGAUAAAAAUGACAGUAGCGGGGUACACGUCAGCACAGAAGGCGCACAAAGAAUUAACAGUAAACUUUGUGAGUUUCUAAAUAGCCCAAAUACAAACUUCACCGUAUCAAACACUCCGAUUGAUCGAAAACGCAACAGAAGUGACAAAACUACUCCAACAUCUGCAGACCGGACAUCCAAAGUAUCAAGAAAAGAGACAGGAAUAGAUCAUGAUUAAACCCAUGUGAUAAAACACUCAGACUAUUAAAUCUGAUUUUAAUGUUAAAAAACAAACAAACAAAAACAAACAAACAAACAAAAAAACACAAAUGUAUCACUGUAAAUAUUAUGUUCACUUUUUUAAACAUAGUUUUCGUAUGUAUAAUUUAUUUAGAAAUAAUUCGUUUAUAUGCCUAUAUGUAUAUACUGCAAAAAGUGCAAACAUUGCUAAGCUAUACCAAACUGUAAUGUUAUAUAUGGAGAAGAUGAAUAAGUAACUGUUUAUUAGACCUUUUACGGUUUUAAAACGACAUGUGGAAAACAUGAAUAAGUAUCUGUUUAUAACACCUUAUACGGUAUUUAAAGUUUUACCUGAUUUGUUUACACAAAGGUAUACACAUAAACGAUCCGUUAAGUUUAUUUUACCGAAUAGACAUAAUCAGGUUCAAAGCAUUCAAGUGAAACAUUUAAAUGACGAAGGAAAGAAAAAAAAACCCAAACUAUUCGAACUUAAUAUGUCUUUGUCAAUUGCUUCUAUAAACGUAAAUGGUUUACGAAACAAUAAAAAAACGAGAUAUGAUUUUUAAUUGGUUAGUUUUAAAAAAGUUUGAUAUUAUUUGUCUUCAAGAAACACAUUGUUCAAAAUCUGAUAUUGAUAACUGGGGUAAUGAUUGGAAAAAAUUUGGGGGAGGUGAAUCAGUUUGGAAUUGCGGAACUUCUGAUUCAAGGGGGGUGGGAUUCCUUUUGCAAAAGAAUUUUUCCGAGAAUGUAACUUUUAUUAAUCACGAUGAAAACGGAAGAUGUCAAAUGUGUGACAUAAAAAAAGAUAAUGCUGUAUAUCAUAUUAUUAAUGUAUAUACACCAAACAACGGUUCCGAUAGAAAGACUUUUUACGAAAAUUUGCGUAACUUAAAUAAAGUGUAUGACGAUGAUAGCGUUGAACACUACACCGUACAUUAUUAGGAGACUUUAAUUGUACUUUAGACAAAAAAAAUAGACAGAAUGCCAUCACAUCAAAAUAAUGACGUCGGUACAAUUGAAUUAAAAAAUCUUUUAUUGAGAUAUGAAUUAGAUGAUGUAUGGAGAUCUCGAUUUCCAGAUACAAAACGUUAUACGUUUCAAAGAGGAAACUCGAAGUCUCGUAUUGAUUUUAUUUUCUGCAGCAAAUCUUUGAAUAGUAAAAUAUUUAACACUCGUAUAUCUCAUUUCCCAUUUAGUGAUCACGAAAUAGUUACAUCAAAAAUUAAGCUAGAUGAUAUAGAAAGAGGGCCGGGUAUGUGGAUUAUGAAUUUAAAUACAAUUAAAUCUGAACAGUUUUCAAAUGCUUUUAAAAUCUUUUGGGAAGGAUGGAAAAAUAGUAAAGACAAAUAUAAUGAUAUACAAGAAUGGUGGGAUAUUACUAAAAGUAAAAUAAAAUUUCUAACAAUUGAUGUUAGUAAAACACUAAAUCGAGUAUAUAAUAACAAUCACAUUAAAAAACUUGAAAAACGACUUGAAGCAUUAAAAUUAGUAGAGGAAAAAACAAGUAUCACCAAUUCUAGAAUAACCGAAAUUGAAAGCGAAAUUAAGGAUAUUUAUACAAAUUUAACAGAAUCUGCGAAAAUUAGGGCAAAAAUUAAAUGGUCAGAAGAAGGUGAAAAAUCUACGAAAUAUUUUUUUAGUUUAGAAAAGAAAAAUGGUCAAAACAAGUUAUGGAAUCGUAUAAAAACAAAAACGGGUGAGUAUAAAUAUGAUAUUGAUUCGAUAUUAAAAGAACAAGUACAAUUUUAUUCCACACUUUUUACUGCUGAAGGGUGGGACAAACAUAGCGGUGAAAAGCUUUGCCAAUUUAUUGAAAAUAAGGUAAGUUCGGACGAUAAGGAGAUGCUUGAUAGUAAUAUAAAUAUGGAAGAAUUAGAAAAAGUGCUCAAAGAUCUCAAGACUAACAAAUCGCCAGGUGAGGAUGGCAUUAUAUCUGAAUUUUACAUUUUGUAUUGGGAUAUAAUAAAAAAUGAUUUUUUCACACUCCUUCAAGAAAUAUUUGAUAAAAAUGCCUUAAGUAAAUCACAACAUAAAGGGGUUCUUACGUUAUUACAUAAGGGUGGUGAAAGAGAAAAUAUUAAAAAUUGGAGACCUCUUACAUUACUUAACACCGAUUAUAAAAUCAUAGCAAAACUUCUUGCAAUGAGACUGAAAAAAGUCUUACCGAAAAUAAUACAUCCAGAUCAAAAAGGAUUUGUUAAAGGAAGAAACAUUAGUGAUGCUAACAGAUUAAUUCAAGAUAUAAUAGACUAUAUUGACAACGAAGACGAAGAUGGAAUAAUAAUAUUUCUUGAUCAACAAAAAGCCUUUGAUAGAGUUGAAUGGGAAUGGGUGGAUUUUGUAUUAGAAAAGUUUAAUUUUGGGGGGAAAUUUAGACAAUGGAUCAAAAUGUUACUCUAUGAUGCUAUUACUUGUAUAAAAACAAAUGGACAUGUUUCAAAAUAUUUUUCGAUAACACGGUCGGCCAGACAGGGCUGUCCAAUAGCACCCCUUAUAUAUAUUUUGCAAGCAGAACCAAUGGCAUGUGCAAUACGAGGUAACAAGGAAAUUGAAGGGAUUCAAAUACCUGGUGAGGGGGUAAAAGUAUAGAAACUAAAUUAUGCAUGUUUGCUGAUGACACUCAGCUUUUUAACAAAAAUGAGAAAUCAGUAGAAAAAUCUUUUGAUGUCCUAACGCUAUAUGAAAAAGCUUCGGGAUCUAAAAUUAAUUUUGAUAAAACCAAAGGUUUACUUAUAGGAUCUCUUAAAAGGAAAAAACUAAAAUUUAAUAAAAUUAAAUGGAUUACAGGUAAUGUAAAAACCCUAGGAGUAAAUCACGGAUAUGAAAUUGAUAAUGAUGCUAUAUGGCAAAGUAUAAUAGAAAAGAUUAAAAACUGUGUCCACGUUUGGAAAAGCAGGAAACUUUCAUUUAGUGGUAAAACCUUAAUAGUAAAAAAUUUCAUAUUGCCCAUGUGUAGUUAUGAAAUUGAAAUGCGGGGUAUUCUUGAAAAAUAUUCAAAAGAAAUAAACAGUAUCAUUUGGAAUUUUAUAUGGGAUGGGAAAGUUAACCAAAUAGAAAGACAGGUUUGUUGUCUUGAUAUAACAAAGGGCGGAAUGGGCAUGAUUAGUAUCGACUUAUUCAUUAGAAGUAAGCAAAUAAAGUCUCUUUAUCGUAUUCUUCACGAACCAUUAGAAAGCUGGAAUGCGAUUGGCAAGUAUUGGCUUCGACAAUUUGACAACAAGUAUAAUGAUCAGUAUUUUUUAUGUAAAUGUUCAAAUAUUAAAGGACUAAAUCUUAAAAAUAUUCCUGUAUUUUAUCAGAAAAUGAUUUAUACAUGGUCUAAUUUUCUAAAAAUGGGAGAUAAUCCAAAAACUAAGAACGAGGUACUUAAUAUGAGACUAUUUGGUAAUUCAAAAAUUUCAUUUCAAAAUAAACCAUUGUUUUUUUCUUCCUUUCUAAAAAGUAACAUAAAAUAUAUCAAAGACAUAUGGAACGAAGAAACCAAAACAUUUUACAGUUGUUGUUCUAUAUUUGAAAAACUUGUAGAUAAAAGAAACUGUAUAUCGGAAUUUUCAAGAGUUAAAAGUUCAAUACCAAUUGACUUCUUACAAAUUUUAAAAAUUGAUAAUGAAAUUAAUGAAAAAACAAACAUAGAAUUGAAACUUUCUAAUGAAAUGGUUAUAUUAGACAGAAAUGGAAAAAAAUCAAACCUAAAGAAUUAAAACUCAAAUAUAUUCGAGACAUGAUUAAUAAGAAUAUUUAUCUUACCUCCUAUACAUUUCUAGGAAUAUGAUUGGUUAAAAGCGUCCGCGUGCAAACCGUGUAUAUUCAAUAUUAGGUUAGUAGGGGGGCGGGGCUUAUUCCAUACACGGUUAGUAGUGGAGUUACGUCCCUUUGUAUAGUAAAGAUGGCGUCGACGAGAGGUUCGAAACGUUUCGCAAGCACAACAAAUGAAGAAAUUGAUGCAAAAAGAUUGAAUGUGAAUGCGGAAAAUACCUGAAAGCAAACAGAAAGUGUGCUAAUAUACUCGGACUAUCUUCAGGAGAAAGAACAAGAUGAUGACUUUGAAAAAUUUGAUUGUGUCCGACUGAAUGAGACUCUGUGUCAUUUUUAUGUCGACCUACGGAAAGGGGAUGGUGAACGAUACAAAGCAUCGUCACUGGAGUCCAUCAGGCAUGGCAUUAACAGAUACCUUAAGGCUCCUCCGCACAGUAAAACGUUUGAUAUUGUGAAGGAUUCUCCAUUUAAUGACAGUAACGCAAACUUUAAAGCCGUCUUGGCAGAAUCGAAACGUUUUGGACUAGGUGACGUUGAACAUUUCCCCGUUAUUAAUGAAGUUGAUCGUGAAACACUGUAUACAUCUAUGUAUCUUUCACCUACAACACCAACUGGCCUGGCAAAUAAAGUUCAGUUUGACAUCAGACUUUAUUUUUGCAGAAGAGGAAUUGAAAAUAUGCACAGUAUGACCAAAUGUACCUUCACAAUUAAAACUGACAUUAAAACAGGAUUGAAAUAUGUUACUAAGGCAAAAGAUGAACUUACAAAAACCAUAGGGAAUCAGAUAAGGAGCUUGUCUCUGGAGUAAUGCCAGAAUCACCAGGUGAGUGUAUGACAAUAAAGGAGGGGGGGGGUGUUAUUAGACAAUUGAAAGGAUGAGAAAAAAAAGAUAAUUAGAACAUUACACCAUACUAAUUGUGUAUAAAAAAUAUAUGAUAAAAUUGAGAAUGGAAAUGGGGAAUGUGUCAAAGAGAUAACAACCGACCAAAUAAAAAACAACAGCAUUACUAACUUUAUAUCAAAUAUACAACAUUGGCGAUUGCCACACAGACAUGAAUGACAAUCAAUGAUAUUCCUGAAAAUAUAAAAACUUAAAACAACAAGUACAUUGUAGUAACUAUAAAUAGUUAUGAAAGGUAGCAAUAUCAUUAUCUAAUUAUAGACUAAGACAGGAAUCCUGUAAUUUAUUGUUGUGUUGUUUAUUGCUGUAAGUAAAAUGCAUAUCAUACAUGUAUUUCUCAUUUGAAUAAAUUUACAUGUGUCAUUUCGGAACCUUCUACAUGCUUGAUAUAUCAAUGUAAAUACAAGAAAUACAUAUACCCAUUGUUGAAGGCUGUACGGUGACCUGUCACUUAUAGUUAAACGUUGUUAAUGUCUGUGUCAUUUUGGUCUCUUGUGGACAGUUGUCUCAUUGGCAAUCAUACCACAUCUUCUUUUUUAUAUAUAGUAUCUACGUCUUUGUUGUUGAUGUUAAACCUGAAAAUAUCUAAAUGAUUACUCUAUAUUUCAGGAUCUGUGUAUUGUCCUGUUGCCUCAUACGAGAACUAUAUUCGUAGAUUACAUCCAUCAAAUGAUCGUUUAUGGCAGAAACCAUUGGAUAGUUUUUCCACAGAAGGCUGAUGUCUGGUAUUGUAAUAUGCCACUAGGAGAAAAAAAACUAAGUACAUUUAUGUCAGAACUCAGUAAGAAGUGUAAGUUGUCUAUUGUUUAUACCAAUCACUCAAUACGAGCAACUGGAGCCACAGUUUUAUCACAAAACAUGUAUGGAUCUGCGCAAAUAAUGGCAGUCACUGGCACAAGUCCGUACAGUCACUCACAACGUACCAGCGUGUUGAUACUAACGAGAAAAUUAAAAUGGGUAAAACUAUAUCUGACAAUCUUGUGCAAAGAGCAGUUAUUGCUUCCAACCAUACAUGCAAUAGAUCCAAAAGUGAUGAUAGUGGGUCAUUUAUGGAACAAAUACAAGAUAUUGACAUUGGAGAUAUUUUAGGAGACUUUGAUGACAACGGGCCGAAACCCAUCCAAUACAGACAAACAACCACAUGCAUGCAGUCGACAAAACCUCAGAGUCAGAUCUUCUAUGGCAAUGUAACUGUUAUACACAACCUUACCAUCAACAAGUAGUUGUGAGGAAAUUAUCACACUUGUCAUGUUGACAUCAACAUUUAUUUUUCAAUUUGUACACAAAAAAUGUGUUGCAUGUUGACUUCGACACUAUUUGUCGCCUAAAUGUAUUGAACAUUUUGUUUUAAUUAAUAUUGUUAUAUCAAGGUUAUUGCUAUUAAAUUGUUAAUGUUGACAUUUGUUUUUCUCUUUCAAUAAGACCAAUGAAAGUAGAUUCUUAAAGUUGUAGAUUUGAACACUUUGAUAUAAAGACCUGGUAUGAUUGUAAAUGAGACAACUCUAGUCGAGAUUCAACAAAUAAAGAUAGUCGGUAAGAUAAAUUCGUUACAUAGUGUGCUAGUAACCUAAUACGAUAUAUACGGGGUAAGUAAAUUCCAUAUGGGGUUCGAGCUUCGCUCUCACCCCAUAUGGAAUUUACUAACCCCGUAUAUAUCGUAUUAGGUCACUAACACACUAUGUAACUAAUAAUAUCCAAAAUGUCAACUAAAAUGGCAAGAAUUUUAUGGCCACGAAAUUAAUUGGAAAAUAGUAUGGGGCAAUUUGAAAAAAGUUAAUGUCACCAAUAAAAUGAAAGAAUUUCAAUGGAAAUGCAUACACAAUAUCAUAUAUACAGAAAGUAGUCUUAAAAAAAUGCAAUUGUCAAACGGAAAAUGUCAUAUUUGCCAAACUGCUAAUAAUACUGAAAAUCUGCAACAUUUAUUUUUCGAUUGCAAUACAACAAAAUUAAUCAUAAUUAGUAAAAUCAAAGAUAUUUUUACAUUAUGGAAUGUUCAAUUAGAUGAUGAAAAUUUAAAACAUUUUAUGCUUUUGGGAGAUAGCAGUGGUCAAUCGAACCAAACUUUACAUGUAAAUCUCUUUUUUAUUUUGACAAAAUGGUCCUUGUGGAAAAUAAGAAACAAAAUCAAAUAUGAUGGGAUAAAAAUGUCCUCUACAUAUAUUUUGAAUCUUUGGAAAUCAUACAUGAUAACACAUCUGAAAUCUGUACCCUGUUACUUAUCGAAUAAUACAUUAGACAAAGAGAAAAUAAACACAUUAAUUAAUUUUAUACUAUAAGUACAUACCUCGCAGGAGAUAACAGUCACGAUGUUAUGUGGUCUGUUUUUUUAUAUCUCUUUAAUUUAUAUUGAUUACGGCAAUCCAUGGUUUAAAGAUGCACUCGAUUAUGUUAUAAUGUUAUGUGAAUCUGGUUUAUAGGUGCACUCCUUUAUGUUAUAAUGUUAUAUUAUUUAUAACUAGUAUUACAUACUAGAAAGAUAUUUCUUUUUUCACUCAUUGUCAUAUAAAAGAAUAUAAGUAUUAUUACAUGUAUACUAUUUUUUUCUGAUAAUACAGUGCACUUUUUCAGCCUUCUGCUUCCCGGACAGUUGGUUUAAAUGUAAACGGGAAUCCACAGUUUGCAUCCUGGGCAACUGAGGAAAUUGUAAACAGGAAAUAUUUGGAAUAAACAAGUAUCAAUUAAAAAAAAAAAAAAAAAAAUAGCGUUGGUACCCACACACAUGUGUGUAAGACGCCCAUCGAAAACCAUGAACCAAAAUUGGUAUUUCUUAAUGAAAUAAUUUGAAAAGCAAGAUUUUUAUGGUUUCUGUCAUUCGGCGUUUUUUUUUUUAGGGAAGGGGUUGUCGAAAUCGAAAAAUAAGGCGAUGAGGUAUGAUUGCUUAUGAAACAACUACUCAUCAUGAAGUUCAAAUGAAGUGGAUGUACGGUUUUCAAGCAAUAACAGUUUCCACUUUGGUUUAUUUAAAGGGGCACUAGCUACGAGAUAUAUAAAAACAUCUAAUAUAAAAUUUUUUUGGCUCAAUCAGUAAUGAAAUACAAAUAGUGAAAUAAUAAUUCCUUUUUAGUAGCCAAUAGGGUUCAAUUUUGUCAAAAUAAGCAAAAAAAACAUUGAUUAUGAAUUAUUCACUUCCAAGUGAAUAAUUCGACCUCAUUGAAUCCGUAUUCAUGUGAACUUUAAUUUAACCCCUUAGCUUGAGAUGGAUAACACGUGAAUUCUAUGUGUAAAGUUAUUUAAUGGAAGAGAAUGUUAACAUUGAAAGUGAAACAAAGGUCAAUCAUUUACAAACAAAGGUAAAUCAUUUGAUUGACCGAUUCGAUCCACAAAUAAACAUUCUAAUACAGGUAAAAAACGAUGAUACACAUUGAUUUUUUAUCUGUAAUAUGAAAUUAAAUAGACCAGAAUAAUUCAACAGCACGUGUUUGCUUAAUUAUCGAAUGACUAUAGAGGUCAACUCGAUAAAUAAUUAGAUGGCGUCUAGACUCAAAUACACACGAAACGAAACUACGUAUUUUCAUGACUGUACCUUGUUUAUUGUUUUAUUCAGACUUUUAAUAGUUUAGAUAAAUGUUUUACAUUGUUAUAAAUCAAAUAUGAGAAUUUGAUUUGAAUCGGUGAACAUGAAUUUGACAGCUAGUGCCCCUUUAAUCAAAAAUGAAAAACGAAUAUUGCAAGAAAAAAAGUGUGCCCCCUAAUUCCUAUAGUAAUGCAAACCGCCAAAAUAUUGCACGUACCGUCAUUCAAUUAAUAAAAAAAAUAUAUAAACAGAAUCAAAAGUAUAAUUUGAAUCAUUUUUCUUUUACAUAAAAUUUUGCGUUUUAGAUCUUACAUUCAAUUUAAAUUGUUUCUGUAAAUCGUUGGACGUAUACUAUUUAGUUUGCUUUAUGACACAUAUCAAAGUAGAGGAAGAGUUUAUUGGUAGUUUCUUUUGUUUUGUUUGAAAUUUUUGUUUAAACCCCAGUCCCACUAGACCAUGAUCGCACCACGCUCACCGCGAUCUUUAAUAAAUUCAGAUCGUAGUGAGGUCGCGGUAUGAGCGGCAUGAAAUGUAAAUGUUCGUUGCUUUCACGAUGCUUCUGCGACCUCAUUACGCUUAUCAAAAUCUUUCUACGCUCAUCACGUUCUCACUGCGACCAUACCACGAGUUAUCCGAGUGCAACACGAUCUUACCACUCUUCUACUGCGAUUAUACUACGUUCAUACCGCGGUCUUACUACGCUCUCAGCAAUAACGUCAACAUCGUGUUCCAUAUCAAUGUAGUUCCAUUCCUUCUAUUUCUGUUUAAUACGUAGAUUUCUCGAAAACAAUAGUCAUGCCACCAAAAUCUACUAGAACACGUGGGCGUGGUGGUAGGGGUUGAUGUAGAGAAAGAGGGUCCUCUGAUAGAAACGAAUCCUGAUCAAGUAGAGAUGUCGGAUCGACUAAUCCAACCUAAAUUACAACCUAUUGCUGGUCCAUAAAGCUGAAAUGACGAUAUUUUAGUGAACGAUAGCAGAGAUGACACACAUGUGUCAAUAGAUAUAGUUAGAUAUGGUGUGAUAGCCAAUGAAACAACUCUCCAUCCAGGUAACAAUUUUUAAAAGUAAACCAUUUUAGGCCAAGGUACGGCCUUCAAUACGAAGCUUUGUCUCACAUCGAACAGAAAGCUACAAAGGGCCCCCAAAAUUACUAGUGUGAAACCAUUCAAACGGGAAACCAAACAGUCUAAUCUAUAUGAAAAUGAGAAGCAUGGUUGAGCCGUUAGAGAAAAUAGACAAGAAGUCCCAAUUACAUACAGACAAACAAAACCUGGUGAGAUUUAAUAUAUUUUAUGUGAAAAUGACAAUGAGAAUGAUGGUUGUAGUAUAAACGUAGUCAGGUCGUACGAAGUGCGUGAUGAGCACGGCAAGGGCGUGUUAGAAUCGUACUAUGGUCGUGAACAGCGUGGUAUAGUCGUAGACGAAGCGUAGUUGGAUCGCGGCGAGAACGUUAUAGUCGUAGUGAGGUCGUAAUAACGUCGCUGUGAGAUCGUACCGCAGUUUCUCCGAAUAGAAUCACGCUUUCUCUACGCUCUCGCUACGAUGUAACAGCGACCUUUGCGAUCUUACUACGAUCUUAGUGCGCUCUUACUACGCUUCUACUACGACCUGAUUUCGCCACGACCGCACCACGAUUGUUUUGGACAUGUUCAAAGUUGGCCACGCUCAUCGCGAUCUUGAAGACCUCACCACGACCGUGAUACGACCUUACUGCGAUCUACACGAUCGUAUUACGAUCAUCAAAAUUUGCAUUUUUUUCACAGAUCGUAGUGCGAUCGUGGCCUAGUGGGACUGCGGUAUUAAAAAUGUUGUUUUUAUUUAGGAAUCAUUAAUGCAAAAAUGUGGGUUCCAAACAAGACACCUGUCUCCUAUAAUAACUGUACUUGUAGUUGCUGGGACACAGUUUUUAAAGGUUUGUAAUAUUGUUUACAGUAGUGACAUUUCAACUAGACCGCUGGUGGUGUAUUGAAUGAUAUCUUAGUUAAGGAGUUAUGGUUUAUUUGUAAGUUAGAAAUGGGACCAUAAUUAGUUACUGCGAGUACUCUCCUAUCGGUAAUUUGUGUCUUUUGUAAAACAAAUAAAUCUUAAUGGUGUGUAGUACAGAUCUGGUAAGGCGAGCCCUUUCAAACUUAUUUUACAGUCUGCUACAAAAAUGCACUGCUAUCUGGCGUUACCAUUGCUACAUGCUAGUAUGCGCCUGUACAAAGCCAGAACAAUGUCGUUGUAUUAUUACAUACGAGUCAAAAAUAUAUAAAGACCGAAGAACAAAGAUGCAGUAACAGAUCAUCAUGCAGCCGAGCAAAACCUUUAUCGCAUUGUAAACCAUACGUGUUCAUUACAGAUGUGUGAAUAACAUUUUUUCAAAUAAGUUUUUUUCUAAAGAUUAGUAAUAUCUUCUUUAUAAAUGUAUAUAGACUAAUAAUAUUCUUUCUUUGUUGCGAAUUCAUUUAAUUAAACUUUCAAGGGUUUAGAUAAAACGGGAUUUUUCAGUGUAUGUAAAGUGCGGAUCCUAAAAUAUCAUUUUUACUGUAUAUGCCAUAAAUGUCUAAUGUAGAAUGAUAAAUAAACAGACGAACUUUUUUUAAUUUUUGAAGAAAAUGAAGAAAAAUAGUUAAAAUGUAUAUGUUCAGAAAUACAUAAUACUAAUAAAACAAAGUAAGAGAUGCGAGCGGGAUUUAUCGCGCCUAAAGCCAUCCAACUGUGAAAUAUAUACCAAAAUAGGUGAAUUUUUAGGACAUUUCACGAACAGAUCGUGCAGGUGCUUUAUAACUAACAGGUGAGAUGUUGUUGCAGUAAAAAAUAUUCAUUUUAAUACAAUUAUUAAAGUUGUAUAACGUAGAAUAUGUUUUGUCAUUCAGUUUCUUCAUAUUUAACUAAAUUCCACUAUGAUGAUUUCGUAAUGCUAGUCAUGUUUACUGUCGAAUAAUGAUACUAUUCUUUCAUUUUAACUGUGGAGCGAAUCAUUAGUAUUGUAUAUGCGGUGCAUUUUCACUGUAUAAUUAUUAUUUUUUUUAUCUAUUACAGCUCAUUUCUUUAAGCAUGUAGAGCAAGACUUUAGUUGAUUUGCUUGCUUUUUUUAUUGGAUAAUCAUUAUGAUAACACCCAAUUUAAUUCAAAUAUUAAAAAUACAGGUUAAACUAUGCCUAUUCAUAUUGUUUAAAAAUGUCAAUCUUAUUUACAAAGUUUGUAUAAACAAUUAUACAAACAAAGCAAGCAAGCCAACCAAAGUUUUGCUUUACAUGCAUUAGGAAAUUAGCUGUAAAGUCUUAAUUUAGCCGACUUGCUCAAAUAAUAGAUAAAGUAAGAGAAAGAUUUGAUAAAAUUUAACUUACGGAUAAAAGUUUGGUUUUAAAACACUCUACUAAAUUCAAUAGAAAUAACAUUUAUUUCAAAUGUAUUCCAUUUAGUUUCUUAUAAAGCGUAUAGAGAUCUUUAUCCUUAUUUUUUUUAUCCAUUUCCAUGACACUUCACCACUAAUUACGUACAUCUUGAUAUAGAUUGCACCUUUGUUUUCCCGUUUAAAAGGUUUUACACUGGAGCCCUUUAUAACUUGCUGUUCGGUGUGAGCCAAGACUCCAUGUUGAAGACCGUAUUUUGACGUAUAAUGGUCUACUUUUAUAAAUUGUGACUCGGAUGGAGAGUUGUCUCAUUGUCACAUACGACAUCUAUAUGGCUCAAAAACGAAACGAGACGGGAUAAAAAGGGAUGAAAAAAUCUACGCUACUUUUUUAAUAUAUUUAUAAUGGGCUUUAUAUGAGUCAAAAUAGAGUAAAAUAGUGGGUCGCAUUUGGGUAUAAGCGUCACGCCGGAUUGCCGAUUUUUUGCAAGCGUGACAGCUAGUGAAAGUCAAAUGAUUGUGUAGAGAAAAACGGGAAAUGAAGUCUAGCGGGACACGGAUAAUUACAAAAAAUUAGAACUGCAUAGUAUAAGCGGGAUACGGGAAUCUGACAAAACAAUAAGCGGAAUACGGGAAUCUGCCAAAACAGUAAGCGGGAUCCGGGAUCAGAACCCCCUAAUGAGACCCCAGAAAAAGAUAUUUUUGUAUAUUCAUCCUAUUGUUACAGUCAUGCCUUCAAUAACAAAAGUAUCCGAUGCAUGCAUUUUUUCAUAUUUUUGGUCCCUUUUUCAAUUUUGUGGGGUCCAAAUUUAUAGACAAAAGUCCUUUAAUAUAGAUAUUUGGAAUUCGUUGACAUGCUGAAUCUGACCAUGUAUCAAGUUUGGGGAUUUUUUGCCUAGUUGCUGAAAUAGCCCACAUAGAGUUCCAAAGGGUCUAAAAUCAACAAAAAUGAAUUGUAGCAUGCAUUUCGUGUACAAUAACCCAAAUGUGCAUGGUUUUACCUCUGUGGUAGUAUCCAUUCGCGGAUCUAGAAUUUUUCAUAAGUAGGGGCCCACUGACUGCUUAAAAGGGCCCGCUGCUGUCACGCUCCAGUGAUUCACUAUAUAAGUUAAAAUCAAGGAGAAACGUAAUCUGAAGAAUACAAUAUGACAUUUUGAGAAUCGCUUUUGUUACAAGUUUGAAAAGCUAUAUAUUUGAUGAAGAAUGAAUGAGGAGUUUGUAUUUCAAUUGGAAAAUACAUGUAUCAUAAAUCCUAAAGUCAUCAACUAAGUUUUUUUUCAUUUGUUGCAAGUGCAUUUAUCACAUAAUUCUACAAUAAAAAUUCCUCGCAUCUUUGAAAAUUCUACAUUAAUAAUGACUGCACUAACAGUGAUAAUUCAUCGCAUCUAUAGUUAAAAUGGAUCGCUUUCAAUAAUCGAUAUGCUAUAUUAUGAUGCUUUUAUAACACUUAUUUGAAGUUUAAUGCUAUGUUUGUAUAUUAUAAAGACAUAUCACAAUGAAAAUAUGUUAAAACUUAACUUAAAAUCCUUUAACUUGAUAUUUUCAAAACGUAAACAAAUACAGUUUUCCCAUGAUCCUUUAUUCUACAAUAGACAUACCCGCAUAUAACAGUAAAAAUGAACUAGCUGGAUUCGCACUUUAUAUACACUGUUUUUUGCUGCAAUAUUUACCCAAUUAAAAAAAGAAUCAAAGAUGAAAAUUGAAUUUGGAACAAAUAAUUUUAUAGAAUAUCAAAUAAAAUGUCAUUCCGUGUGCUCGUUUUUCAAGGUAAUUAUUAAUAACUCUCGAAUAAGUGUUUUCUCAGAUGUGUCGCAGUUUAAAGGCGUGAAAAAAAUACAGUUUACGUUAGUAGCCUCUUUUCCAUUCCUGAAACUGUAUCGUUUCCCCUUAAAAGUUUGGUUAAAUUUUGAGAUAAAUGACGACAUUUUUGCCCUUUUUAUAGAAUAUCACUAUAAGAGAUGGGCUGUGUAAUAACUGAACGUAUAAUAAGUCGGCACCUUAAGGGCAUACGACACAGUUAUAGAGAUAACACAUGUUAAAAAUAAUAUAUAUUUAUUGGCGAAGUAAGAUCACGGCUUCUGUCGGUUACCAACCCAUGAACAAAGGGUCUUUGGGUAACCGUAAAUUAAAAUUAUAAAUCAAAUCUUCAAAAUAUAAUAGAUAAUUAAAAUUGAAAUAGAACUAAAAUGUAAUAAAAUUAUGAAUUAAUAGUGUGCUGUAUUGAACCCUGGCAACAGAUGUCCAAAAUCAACAUGAAAAACUACGUUUGAAGUGUAAAUGAAGAAAUGGAUUAAUGUUCUAAAUUAAAUAAUAAUAAAUCAAGUUUAUCGGUACUGAGGCAGCCUAUAAAGUCCGCCACUAAACAAAUUCGAAAUUUUCUGUCAUAACAGAAUGUUUCGAAAAUUGUUACCGCCAACCAGUACUAUGAAGGUGAUUUUUAUUUGAAAAUAAAAAAAAAUAAAAAAAAACCUGUAUGUUAAAGAAUCUGACCGCCGUGACUACAAGCUAACAGAUUCCCGAAGCCAUGGACCUACUUCGCCGUUUUGUGGACAAAUUGUAUGUGAAAAUUUUAUAAUGUCAAAUAAACCUUGCUGUAACCUAUACAAAAACAAAUUAUUUCCGAUAUCUGAUAAAUGAACACCGUCUAAAAAUAAAUCUGGGUUGUCUUCAGAUAUUUCUGGAUAUCUAAUAUAAGCACCGCCAUGUUUGAUGAUAUAUGUAGCUACUAAACUAUUUAAUCUAACUCUAGUUCUGUUCAAAGAUCUAUGUACAAUCUCAUUCCUGUAUUUCAAUCUGGGUAAAAUUUGAGACCAAACAAAUUUUGACUUUGGUAGUAAGACCCGAAGGCAAUCAAUUACUUUUAAAAUAUCGUGUCCUAAUACACAUGACACUUUUUGUCCGAUAUCAUUUCCACCACAGUGAAAUACUAAUACUUGCGGGGGUUCUUCAAGUGUAAGCAAAUGUUUGACUUUGGGUAUUAUCUCACAAAUCCUCAUUCCACUUUUUCCUUGCCACCAUAUUGUAGAUUUUAUUCGUUCCAAACCUAAAUUUACACCAUCGACAGACUUUCUAGCAUGUACAAAUGCAUGUUUGAUGAUUGAAGAACCCACCAACCAAACACUCUUUUGUUGACCUGAAAGUCUUAAAGUGACGAUCAGGCGAGUAUUCAAAUUUCAAAUCAAUUAUGUACAAUAUAUACAAACAAAUAAAUGAUGACACAUAUUAAAUUUGACUUGCUAACUUUAGCGUUGGUAUUCUGAUAUAUCUUUUAUAAGCUUUUGAUUCCCAACGACCAAAAUCCUGAAUUUCAUCAUCAGAAAACCCCAUUUUCGAAGACUGAGAUGCAGCUCCGAUCCUAAAACUAUGACUUUGAAAAUUAUCCGAUGUAAUAUUCGCCACAUUCAGAGCUUUCUUUAGAACAGCGUUAAACUGAUAACGUGUAACAUAGUUUCCACCGAAGUGUAUGAAUGCAGGACCAAUGGUUUUGGGCCUGGCAAUAAAAUAUUUCUUUAAUAAAUGAACAGGACAUACAUGAGAAUUAAUUGAAGGUAUAAUUAUUAAACUACCUUUGCCUAACUGAUCAGUUUUUGAAAAUUUAAGGUUGAUAGAAACGUUAUUGUCUGAAAAACUAAAAUCAUCUAACGACAAAGUGUGAGAAUGUGCCAGUGAUUUAUUGACUACUAAUUCCCCUAUCCUGAAAAAAACCAAAAUACGCCAAACUAAACAACCCCGAAAACAAUAAGGUCUCAUAUUGUGAGAGACAUACAGAUGGUAAUAGUGAAAUCAAUUUAUCUAAAAUCUGUGGUGUAAUUGGCAAUCUUGAAUCCACUCGUUUGUCAAGCCUUUCCAUUCAAUUAACAUUUUCUUAAUUAUAAAAUUGUGAGUGUUAUCAGUAAUAUUUAACAUUUUACAUUUAAAGGCUAUACCAAAAAUAUAAGACUUGACAGUAGACGGAGCAUAACCUCGCACAGAUAAAUAUGCUAUAAAGUUACAGAUAACAUUAAGUGAGGGUGGCCAAACAAUGGCAUGUCCGUGUGAAGAUCUAAAUUGAUCAAAUGACCUGACAGCAGUUUCAUAAGUGUCACUUGUGUUUGGUGAGAUUGACGCCGUUAACAACUUGUUGGAUUCAAAUUUGAGAUCACUUGAAGAAAAGGAUGUGGGACCUUUUCUGGUCUUUGUAGCGCCUCUGGUGACAUGCGACGAAACCGUGGCCACUGUUGACGAGAAAUUGCAUCCGCAAUACAGUUUUUGUUUGAUGUAAUAUGCAUUGCUUUGAACUGAAUAUUAUAAACCAUAGCUUUUAAGACUAAAGGACGAAGAAUAUGCAUUACCCUUCUUGAUCUAGACGUUUUAGAAUUCAAGAUAUGAACAAGUGCUUUAUUGUCAACGUGUAAGAUAAUUUUCUUAUUCGCAAAGAUCGCAUACCACAAAUGAAAGGCUAAAACAAUAGGCAAUAACUCUAAAAAUGUAAUGUCCUUUAAUAUAUCGCAACCUAACCAAUAUGACGGCCAAGGAAAGAAAGCCCAAUUAGGAUGUAAAUACGAAGCACAUCCACCAAACGCACUCCCAGCACUAUCAGUAAAUAACUCCAUAUCAACAUUUGAUAUCCAAUCGGAAUCGGGAAAAUAAAAUUUGCCAUUAAAACAAUCUAAAAAUAACGACCACAAGCCUUAUGUCUUCCUUAAUUGACGCAGUGAGCCUUAUAUGGUGCCGAGGAUUUGAUAUUCCUGACAUUGCAUCAUAAAAACGUCUGUUGAAUGCCCUACCCGUAGGGAUCACUCUCGAACAAAAAUUCAAAAUGCCUGUAAAAGACUGGAGAACACGUAAUGUUUUUAUUGUUUUCAAUUUCAGCAAUUUCUCUUUGGGAAUUUUUACAGACAUUUCAAUUGUAUUAAUUUCAAGCCCCAAAAAAGUAAGAACAUGAGUUGGACCGACGGUCUUGUCAUGUGCCAAAGGAACUCCUAAACGAUCACAUAAACAAUCAAAUUCACUCAUCAGGUUAAGGCAAGUUGAAUCAGUCCCCGGGCCUGCAAACAAAAAAUCAUCUAAGUAGUGUAUAACACUUUCCGAUCCCGUUUUGUCCUUAAAGAUACAUUCUAGAAAUGUUGAGAAUUUCUCAAACGUUGCGCAAGACAGACUACAACCUUGAGGCAAACAGCGGUCCACGAAGUAAAAGUCCAAAAAUUUGAAACCCAAUAACUCGAAAUCAUCCGGGUUUACUGGUAAAAGCCUAAAUGCCGAGCUGAUAUCUUUUUUUUUCCAAUUAGGGCGAACUUUCCUUGGCUACCCACCAUAUCUAGUGCAUGGUCAAACGGCGUAUAAGUCACAGAACACAAGCCCUUAUCAAUAUAAUCAUUUACGCUUAAACCGUGUGGGUAUGAUAAAUGCUGUAUAAGCCUCCAAGAACCAUCCUUUUUAGGACAUAAGCCAAUCGGAGACCAUCUUAGAUUAAAAAGUGGUAUAUUGUUAAAUGGACCAGCUAUUCUUCCCAAAUUAAUUUCUUUCAAUAAUUUUUUUGCAACUUCAACUUCAUUGCCAAAAACAGAAACUAGAUUUCUACAAUCAGUAGUCAUCCUAGGUCCAGUAUAAUUUAGACGAAAACCUUCCAAAAAUCCCAAAUAUAAUUCUGAAGCAACUGUUUUAUUACUAUAAUUUUCCAGAAACUUGCAAAGAACAUCAAAUUUAAUUGGCGUAUUAGCGAUUGAAUGAACCGUGGAAAGGUGGUCGCUGGAAUCUGACAGCUGCCCUUGGAUUAGCACUCGAGCCUCGUUGCGAACUGUUAUUUGGUUGUCCAGCAGCGAAUCUAGGACCACGCCUAAAAUUAAAAUUUGUCUGAGCACCAUGAAAUCGUGUACAGUUUACCGAUGGGUGAAUACCUGAACAACGUAAACAACUAUGUGAAUAAUGACAGUUAGGCCUAGUACAGGAUCCAUUGUUAUAAUCAAACAUUUAUACGCAUUAGUUACAGGGUUUGGAUUAAAUUGUGUGUUAUCAUCAUACAUGUUUAAUUGAGAACACCAUCUUAAAGUAUUAGAAUUAUCAUCAAUAGGUACUGGGUUCGACAAUAAACAACCCAGAUCAAUAUAUUCACCAUUUAAGAUUUUUUGUCUGAUAUUGCAAGAAACAUUAUUACCCAAAUCAUUGCUGAUGCUAGCAAUUUCAUGUACAGAAUUAACAUUAGAUUCAAAAUUUUGAAAUGUACCUUGUUCAUUGAUGGUUUGUGAAUACGACUCUUCAUUAUUCGGUAAAUCCACUGAACUGUUAAACGUGGUAGAUGGUCCUGAUGCAUUAGAUGUUGUAAUUUGCGUCCGUGGCGGCACUACAUCAUGUUCUGUUUGAGACAGUGCAGCUGUCCUGUCAUUAUCAGUAACACGGGCUGUUCUCCUUCUUUUAACUCCUUUUCCCCUCGCGACAGUUUUUCCCCUAGGCAUCACUAACCUUCCAAUAAAUAAACACAGUGUAAAAUAAAAAAUAGUUACCAAUCCUAAAAUAUAUGUUUAACUAAAUAUAAAAGUAAACAUGAAAUAAACAACGCGAUAUCUGUGACGGAAAAAAAAAUUGCUGAUAAAUCAAUUAAUCAAAUGUCAAUUUAAAGCAUUUACCAAAUAUUUCUUAACGGAAGCCUAGUUAAGUAUAAUUCUCUUAAAUAAUUUGCAACAUCAAAUAGCAAUUAGGUGUACCAUGUAUAAUUGUAUUGUCUAGCCAUAUUAGAUGACUCCCGGCGUGCAUCGAAUAUUAAAUAUAAAUUACAUACCUCAUAGGAAGUUGCCAAAAUAAUCUGCAUAACAAAAUGCAAUUAGCAUGGAUAGCAUCAACAUUAGAUGCCUCAAUAAAAGACAAAGCAAUAAUGUGAAUGAAACUAAAAUUAAAAUAAAUUCAACAUCAUAAUUCGUUAUAUAGACAUAUAAUAAACAUAAACAAAUAAAAUCGAUUGAAUGUAUUAAAAUUAAUAUCAAGUAAUCAUGUGUAUAAUAAAUUAAAUCAAUAGUCUGACCUUAGAUCAAUAUAAAUCCUUGAAGAUAGCGUUUGCAAUAUUUGUGAUGAGAAUGCAAGAGCAGUUAAUUUAUAUGUAGUGUAAUAAAUUUAGACAUGCGCGUCUGCUUUGACCUGCUAAUGAACUAUUGCUGGUCUUCCUCUGAUAACGCGAUUUAAUGGUUGAGCCCUUUAAAUCGAAUUACAUGGGAGGUAGAGGGGGGGAAAGAUUCAGUUUUCGACUGAUUUUUAUCAUUUAAACUGAUUUAACUUGAAAACGAGUUCAUGGACCCCACUUUUUUAAAAUGCCAUUUGGUUUGUUGACGUAAGAAGAUUAUGUGUGCCAAUUUUCAAGAAACCGUAAAUAGUGCAUUUUUUUUUUAAUUUGAUAAAUAUAUAGCAAAAAAUGAUGUGUUUUUCUGCAUUAAUGAAUAUUUGCUCUUCAACUUCGUACUUUAUUUUGGCCUUUUUUACUUUUUGGAAUUCGAGCGUCACUGAUGAGUCUUUUGUAGACGAAACGGGCGUCUGGCGUAUAUACUAAAUUUAGUCCUGGUAUAUAUGAUGAGUUUAUUUACAACCACUGGGUCGAUGCCACUGCUGGUGGAGAUUUAUUUCCCGAGGGUAUCACAAGCCCAGUAGUCAGCACAUUUGUGUUGACAUGAAUUGUCAUUGAUAUGGUUAUAUUUAUAAAUUUACUAUUACAAAUUUUUGAAUUUUUUGAAAUACUAAGCCUUUUCCACCUUAGGCAUAUAUUACCUUAACUGUAUUUGGCAAAACUUUUAGGAAUUUUGGUCCUCAAUUCUCUUCAACUUCGAACUUUAUUUGGCCUUUUUUACUUUUUGGGAUUCGAGCGUCACUGAUGAGUCUUUUGUAGACGAAACGGGCGUCUGUCGUAUAUACUAAAUUUAGUCCUGGUAUCUAUGAUGAGUUUAUUUACAACCACUGGGUCGAUGCCACUGCUGGUGGAGAUUUAUUUCCCCGAGGGUAUCACAAGCCCAGUAGUCAGCACUUUUUGUGCUGACAUGAAUUGUCAAUGAUAUGGUUAUAUUUAUAAAUUUAAUAUUACAAAUUUUUGAAUUUUUUGAAAUACAAAGGCUUUUCUACCUCAGGCAUAGAUUACCUUAGCUGUAUUUGGCAAAACUUUUAGGAAUUUGGUCCUCAAUGCUCUUCAACUUCGUACUUUAUUUGGCCUUUUUAACUUUUUGGGAUUCGAGCGUCACUGGUGAGUCUUUUGUAGACGAAACGCGCGUCUGGCGUAUAUACUAAGUUUAGUCCUGGUAUCUAUGAUGAGUUUAUUUACAACCACUGGGUCGAUGCCACUGCUGGUGGAGAUUUAUUUCCCCGAGGGUAUCACAAGCCCAGUAGUCAGCACUUUUUUGUGCUGACAUGAAUUGUCAUUGAUAUGGUUAUAUUUAUAAAUUUAAUAUUACAAAUUUUUGAAUUUUUUGAAAUACAAAGGCUUUUCUACCUCAGGCACAGAUUACCUUAGCUGCAUUUGGCAAAACUUUUAGGAAUUUUGGUCCUCAAUGCUCUUCAACUUCGUACUUUAUUUGGCCUUUUUAACUUUUUGGGAUUCGAGCGUCACUGAUGAGUCUUUUGUAGACGAAACGCGCGUCUGGCGUAUAUACUAAAUUUAAUCCUGGUAUCUACAAAUGUAUGAUGUGUUUAUUUGAUAAAUACAAAUUAUUUCUAAAUAAGAAAUGUAUAAAUUUUUAGGAUACUUUUAAAAUACUGAAAUUACAAAUUAUUUAACAAAAAAACAAUUUGUGUUUAUCUUUUAAAUAAAAAAAAUUUAUGUCUUUCUUUCGAUAGGGAAAAUACGGCCUCAAAACCGAAUUUUGAGCAAUAUACAAAAUUUCGACCUCAUUUUACGCAAAAAGUAGCACAUGAAGGUAUAUUUUUUAUUGCAUAUUUGAUUUAAUCAGGUAAAAAAUAGUCUAUAUGGAAAUUUUUAGCAAAAUGUAAAUACGGGAUCAAAACUGUAUCGUAUGCCAAUAAUCUAAAUUUAUGCAUUAUGUACUUAUACCGAUGUAAUUUGACAUUUGUAAUGGUCAAUGGUAUUUUCCGAUUUAUAUUUUUAGGAUCAUAUGAAAACCAGAAAAAGAUUGGAUACAAACACAUGUACUUUAAUGCUACUAAACAAACUUUUAUGAUGUGGACAAUAACAAUGGCUGCUGUUUUGGCAUUUUAUGAGUUAGUCAAACACUUAUUGCGGUUAUACCUGGAAAGAAAUUUGAGAUAUUCAAUGCUUUUUCUAUUAAUACUGAGUAUUUAUCCACAGUACUUUUCUUGGUGGGUAUAUCUCAACUAUCUUAAUGAUGAUUUCUACAAACAGUUCAUCCAUCAAAUGUUUUUUACUGUGACAGAGAUGAUAACCUUGAUGAUAAUUGUUCGCAUGUGCUCAUAUGCAAAUGGUAUUACGACAAACCACUUGAUUGGAGUAUUAUCUAUAAACUUGGUGCACAUUGCUGUAGGGGGUUUAGACCAGUUCUUUGACCAUUUGGUGUUAAUGGAUGGAAAACCAUUUAAAAGAAUGCGAAGUCUUGCACUGGUUAUACCAGACGUCGUGUGUAUUGUAAUAUUUAUAAUAGAAUACAAAAGAUCACGUGGUCGAUUAUUAAGUAGGAAAGAAUCCUUCUAUGUAUUAUGGUUAACAUUUUUGUUGUUUUUACUUUUCAAAUUUGGAUUGAUAUACUGAUCAUAUAAUGGAAUGUUG